GCAAGUCGAGGGGUAACAGGGAAGCUUGCUUUCGCUGACGACCGGCGAACGGGUGCGUAACACGUAUGCAACCUACCUUCCACUAAGGUAUAGCCCAGAGAAAUUUGGAUUAAUCCCCCAUAGAACCAAGAGUCACAUGGCUCAAUGGUCAAAGGAUUCCGGUGGAAGAUGGGCAUGCGUCCCAUUAGCUAGUAGGUGAGGUAACGGCUCACCUAGGCUACGAUGGGUAGGGGGUCUGAGAGGAUGAUC
Molecule: ribosomal RNA, 249 nt
Filed under: uncultured bacterium
Lineage: Bacteria
Description: partial 16S ribosomal RNA
Rfam family: Bacterial small subunit ribosomal RNA
Source: RNAcentral